Ornithorhynchus anatinus (platypus) is the source of this 89-nucleotide small nucleolar RNA. RefSeq annotates it as small nucleolar RNA SNORD11. The transcript has a single exon. Lineage: Eukaryota; Metazoa; Chordata; Mammalia; Monotremata; Ornithorhynchidae. The record is from RefSeq and is a predicted model, not a curated record.
GUGGUCUGUGAUGACUGUUACCUCUUAUUGCCUGACUCCUUUCGAAAGGAAGAUGAAGGCAAUGUUAGUCACUACCUCUUCUGAGACUC